Helianthus annuus (common sunflower) is the source of this 807-nucleotide long non-coding RNA. RefSeq lists it as uncharacterized. Lineage: Eukaryota; Viridiplantae; Streptophyta; Magnoliopsida; Asterales; Asteraceae. The record is from RefSeq and is a predicted model, not a curated record. The transcript has 6 exons.
ACGGAGGCAUGUACAUAAAAGAAAAGAUGGAAAUCACUUGGAAAGGGAAGUUUGAUCAAGUUUAUAUAUCUAAUAGAAAGAGGGUUGAACCCAAAAGAAAUUUGGGGUUAUAAAGUUUGUGAACCCAAAAGAUUACAAGAAACCAAACUUGUUGGAGCGAGAAGUCAAGAUUUUUCUCUUAACGAUGUCAGCAAAGGUGCACCCUGGAUACAGGUUCUUGGCUAUUAUCAAUCGAAAAACCGGCCUCGAGAAUCACGUUCUAGAGCGUUGAAGCUCGAUUUAGAAUCCGUUAGAUGGCAUGUCGUCGUGUCGAUCUGUUUGCUUAAACAGGUUACACAUGUCAACCCAAACACGGCCCGUUUAUUAAACGAGUUAGAUAUGAGAACCCAAACCUAAUUAUUUCCGUCUCAUGUGUCGGGUCAUGUUAGAAAUUCUCACCCCUACUGAAUUCAUUGUAGCCGGAAGCAACUAAAAGGCACGGAAAAUAUAUUGGCAAGUGCAUGAAGCUGCUGCAAACAAUCUUGACUGUUGAUGAUCUCAACUACCCGGAGAAGACCAUCACAUACUAUACAGUUAACGUUCCAUACGUAUUUUCUGCUUGUUGGAAGGUUGUGAAACCACUGUUGCAGGAGCGAACAAGCCGCAGUGUUUUUCUAACGAGGAGUUCGUGAUUCGCAGCUGAUCCGAUUAUCCGGUUACACAAAAGAGGUUACAUUUAUUCAGUGCUUUUCCGCCUUCGCUCUUUUGGUUAUGCUAUCAAUCCACAUAUGUUCGAAUGCGGUGAAGUUCGCUUAAACCUUAGCCACC